This 468-nucleotide ribosomal RNA is filed under the name uncultured bacterium. RNAcentral's name for it is "partial 16S ribosomal RNA". It matches the Rfam family "Bacterial small subunit ribosomal RNA", at positions 28 to 507 of the family's 1533-position model. The record is from RNAcentral.
GACGAACGCUGGCGGCGUGCUUAACACAUGCAAGUCGAACGGAAAGGCCCUGCUUUUGUGGGGUGCUCGAGUGGCGAACGGGUGAGUAACACGUGAGUAACCUGCCCUUGACUUUGGGAUAACUUCAGGAAACUGGGGCUAAUACCGGAUAGGAGCUCCUGCUGCAUGGUGGGGGUUGGAUAGUUUCGGCGGUUGGGGAUGGACUCGCGGCUUAUCAGCUUGUUGGUGGGGUAGUGGCUUACCAAGGCUUUGACGGGUAGCCGGCCUGGGAGGGUGACCGGCCACAUGGGGACUGAGAGACGGACCAGACUCCUACGGGAGGCAGCAGUGGGGAAUAUUGCACAAUGGGCGGAAGCCUGAUGCAGCAACGCCGCGUGCGGGAUGACGGCCUUCGGGUUGUAAACCGCUUUCGCCUGUGACGAAGCGUGAGUGACGGUAAUGGGUAAAGAAGCACCGGCUAACUACGUG